This 276-nucleotide long non-coding RNA is filed under the name Lathyrus oleraceus (garden pea). RNAcentral's name for it is "Pisum sativum (pea) long non-coding RNA (PSAT_LNC024283)". The record is from RNAcentral. Lineage: Eukaryota; Viridiplantae; Streptophyta; Magnoliopsida; Fabales; Fabaceae.
CAGGUUGACCAUGGGACAUUGGUCAACCUUCAUCCCAAAAAUCAAAAGCUAAAAAUAAUUUUAAGUUAGGGAAAUAAAAUCAAGAAAAAAUGUGUGUUAAAAUGGACCAUUUAGAAUAAAUAAUUAAAAUAAACUACUAAUAUUAAAUAAAUACGAAAAUAAAAGUUAAAUAAAAUUAAAUAAGACAUUAGGAAAAGUGAAAGAUAUUUUUGGGUAAUUUUAUGGAUGAAGAAAAUAUUUUAAAUAAUUAAAAUCAAAACAGAAAAAUAGAUGUGA